This 72-nucleotide transfer RNA is filed under the name Ictidomys tridecemlineatus (thirteen-lined ground squirrel). RNAcentral describes it as "Spermophilus tridecemlineatus (thirteen-lined ground squirrel) tRNA". It matches the Rfam family "tRNA". From Rfam's summary of the family: Transfer RNA (tRNA) molecules are approximately 80 nucleotides in length. Their secondary structure includes four short double-helical elements and three loops (D, anti-codon, and T loops). The record is from Rfam by way of RNAcentral. Lineage: Eukaryota; Metazoa; Chordata; Mammalia; Rodentia; Sciuridae.
AGGGUUGUGGCUCAGCGGUAGAGCACUCACCUAGCAUGUGCGAGGCCCUGGGUUCAAUCCUCAGCACCACAU